RNAcentral lists this transfer RNA (87 nucleotides) under Candidatus Pelagibacter sp. TMED118. Its description in RNAcentral is "tRNA-Leu". It matches the Rfam family "tRNA". From Rfam's summary of the family: Transfer RNA (tRNA) molecules are approximately 80 nucleotides in length. Their secondary structure includes four short double-helical elements and three loops (D, anti-codon, and T loops). The record is from RNAcentral. Lineage: Bacteria; Pseudomonadati; Pseudomonadota; Alphaproteobacteria; Candidatus Pelagibacterales; Candidatus Pelagibacteraceae.
GGGCGAAUGGCGGAAAUGGUAGACGCGUUGGACUCAAAAUCCAAUAGUAGCAAUACUGUGAGAGUUCGAUUCUCUCUUUGCCCACCA